ACUGCAGAGUGAGACCCUGUU
Molecule: microRNA, 21 nt
Filed under: Mus musculus (house mouse)
Lineage: Eukaryota; Metazoa; Chordata; Mammalia; Rodentia; Muridae
Description: mmu-miR-1954
Source: miRBase by way of RNAcentral